GACGAACGCUGGCGGCGUGCUUAACACAUGCAAGUCGAACGGAAAGGCCCUGCUUUUGUGGGGUGCUCGAGUGGCGAACGGGUGAGUAACACGUGAGUAACCUGCCCUUGACUUUGGGAUAACUUCAGGAAACUGGGGCUAAUACCGGAUAGGAGCUCCUGCUGCAUGGUGGGGGUUGGAAAGUUUCGGCGGUUGGGGAUGGACUCGCGGCUUAUCAGCUUGUUGGUGGGGUAGUGGCUUACCAAGGCUUUGACGGGUAGCCGGCCUGAGAGGGUGACCGGCCACAUUGGGACUGGGAUACGGCCCAGACUCCUACGGGGGGCAGCAGUGGGGAAUAUUGCACAAUGGGCGGAAGCCUGAUGCAGCAACGCCGCGUGCGGGAUGACGGCCUUCGGGUUGUAAACCGCUUUCGCCUGCGACGAAGCGUGAGUGACGGUAAUGGGUAAAGAAGCACCGGCUAACUACGUG
Molecule: ribosomal RNA, 468 nt
Filed under: uncultured bacterium
Lineage: Bacteria
Description: partial 16S ribosomal RNA
Rfam family: Bacterial small subunit ribosomal RNA
Source: RNAcentral